RNAcentral lists this long non-coding RNA (1731 nucleotides) under Panax ginseng (ginseng). Its description in RNAcentral is "long non-coding RNA (PGIN_LNC009409)". Lineage: Eukaryota; Viridiplantae; Streptophyta; Magnoliopsida; Apiales; Araliaceae. The record is from RNAcentral.
UUAGCUUUUGUUACUGAGUUAAUUUCUGAUGAUAAUUAUGUAGUGAUCUUUGUAGUUUCAUAGGGAAUGAAAUUGGGUCCGUGGAUUCAACUUUGAAAAAUUAUCACUAGUGUUCUGCUUCCUUCUAUAUUUGAAUUAUAUGGGAGUGCAUAAUUUAUCGCAGGAUCACACAGAUUCAUUUUCGAUAAUGAGAACUUUCUAGAUGAGAUGAAAGAUUAUACUCACAGUUUAGUGGUCUACAUAUUUUACAUCACUGGCAGAAUUUUCAUCUUUAAUAGCACCCCCGGGUCCAGUCUACUCUCUCUACUCCAACUGGUGGUAUUUCCAGGUGCCAAUGAUUGUGAAGAGGUAAUUUUUGCUCCCAUGGCUUCUUUUUGAGGUCUAUGGAUACUUCAAGUUUUGGAGUUACAGGAGUCGAGAAAGAAACUGGCAGAGAGGCAAAACUGCAUAGGAAAAGCCUAGUCUAACCAAAUGGCAAAAGAAGAAAUGUAACACGAUUGACACCAUUUCCAAGGGUCCUCAGGACCCCAACUCUGGUUGAAAAAGAAAUGUAUUGAAGAACUAAUACCCUUAAGCAAAACUAAACUAUAGUAUAAGCAGUUCUUUAUUUGGUCAUUUAUACUAAAUUCAGGCUGUCUAGAUGUUGGAAUGAGCAAGUGAAUUCACGGACUUCCUUGAUCCAUAGUUUUAGUCCAAGAAUAUAUAUGCAUAAGCAAUCCGAUUAGAAGUUCCACAUAAUUCUUGCCCAUUAGGCUAACAUUUUGUCUCAACUAUGCAAAAUAUGUUUUUGGUUUGCUCCUUACUUGACCUCUUUUUUUAGUGAGCUCUGGGAUUAUAGCUUCAAGACAACUGCAGCUUAUAGAGACCUCAUAACCCUUACUUGGUUGCCCUAGUGUGCGAGUCAGUGACUGAGUGGGAUACUUUUGUUUAAAAAUCAGUAAAACCUAAUCCGAAAACAUCAAAUUUAAUGUCCUUUAUAAUGGAUAGUAGGGAAUCACUUAACCUGAAAUCAUAACAACCUUAAGCUGUUAUGGAUGAUACAUACAUAUAUGAUAUAUAGGGGUUUAUGGAGGUUCACAACUGUGCAUGUGCAAGGUAGGUAUAGAAAAUAAUUUUAUUUAUAUAGAAAAAAAGUUGCAUUUGUAAGUAAAAAUUUGCAACCACAAGGCAAUGCAUCUUUUUUCUCUACAAAUGCAUUAAUUUCUUAGACUUUCGUGCACUUGCAUCUCCAUUAUGCACACAUGCACAUACAUACACAUACUAUAAAUUUAUAUAUUUAUACACACACACACGUAUAUAUGUACAUACCUCCCUACGGCAUAUAUAAAACAUGAUUAAUCUUCUCUUCCGUAUAUAUAUUAGAAGGAUUAUUGGUUUUUGGCUUGCCUGCACUUUAGUAAGUACUACUACCAUAUAAAUGAAAUGAUAUUAGAACACAAGUACAUAAAAAACUCACAAUAAACGACAUAUGAGCAUGUUUGACAUCUUUGGCUUGAAUAACUCCUACUCUAGCAUCCACAACCUGCAGUAUGUUGGGGAAGGGGUCUGUUUCUGUUUCCAUGACUUGUUAUUUAUACAUCUACAAGCCUGGGAUUGUGUUAAGCCAUGGCUUACUAGCCUUACUGUGAUUAUUUUGCAAAAGUCUCAUGGGCAUUUGAUUGUAUUCAAAACCUACUUUCUUGAUUGAAGGUUACAGUGAUUGGACACGUACACUUGUUACUUUGCGUGUUA